CUACAGAGGGUGCGAGCGUUAAUCGGAAUUACUGGGCGUAAAGCGCGCGUAGGCGGCUACUUAAGUCAGAUGUGAAAUCCCCGGGCUCAACCUGGGAACUGCAUCUGAUACUGGGUAGCUAGAGUUUAGGAGAGGGAAGUAGAAUUUCAGGUGUAGCGGUGAAAUGCAUAGAGAUCUGAAGGAAUACCAGUGGCGAAGGCGGCUUCCUGGCCUAAAACUGACGCUGAGGUGCGAAAGCGUGGGUAGCAAACGGGAUUAGAAACCCUGGUAGUCC
Molecule: ribosomal RNA, 274 nt
Filed under: uncultured bacterium
Lineage: Bacteria
Description: partial 16S ribosomal RNA
Rfam family: Bacterial small subunit ribosomal RNA
Source: RNAcentral